Mustela erminea (ermine) is the source of this 1409-nucleotide long non-coding RNA. RefSeq lists it as uncharacterized. NCBI's taxonomy places the organism in Eukaryota, Metazoa, Chordata, Mammalia, Carnivora, Mustelidae. The transcript has 3 exons. The record is from RefSeq and is a predicted model, not a curated record.
UGUACCCUGCGCAGGAUGCAACCAACAAGGUCAAUCAAGGGGGCUGCCGGGGGAGACUCCUGUCUCCCCGACGUCUUCUCCUGUCACCCAGACCCACAGCUCAGCCUCCAGCAUCUGGGACCUCUGAGGCUCCACCAUCAUCAUCAUCUCUGUCCCUGUCAUCAUGUCACCCAGUGUGUUUUAGUGACAGGGAGGAAAGAGGCCCAUGGAUCACAUCCUGAGGGCUCCCAGUCGGAAGCUGACGCAAUCAUCCAUCCAAGAUAUAAAUGAUGCAAAAGCCAGGAAAACCACAUGGCCUAGAAGGGGUUAGCACCUCACUGCACCCUUCCUUUCCCCAGAUUGUCCCAGUUCCCCUUCCGUGUGGGGUACACUAGUAACCCCAGAGAGCUGCGUCUCCCCCUGCAGAACUGCCCAUGGUGGGUGAGACAGGCUUGACUCCCGUGGCCUCAGAGUGCACAGGCCCAUCCCUGAGGAGUGAUUUUAAGGGAGCCCAAGGCUCUAAGGAAGCAAGGUCAGAAGCCAGGAGACCCACGGGAGGCUUCCGUAGUCAUCCAGUGACUCAUCUGUUGGCCAGGCGUGGGGCACCGGAGCCUGGACCAGGCUGCGCAGGAAGGUGGUGAGAAGUGAGCGGCCAGGGGCAGGAUACAGUCUGCAGUCAGAGAUGACCAGAUGCAUCUCUUUGCCCAAUGCCCAGGCCCCCGGAGCACAGCCUGAGCCCAGGUGGGAGGAAUCCUUCAAACAGCUCCUGAAGUGUGGCCUUUACCCUAACUCCCUUUGUGGGCACCGGAGUUGGCUUCCCCCAGCUGAGGCUUUGCAGCGCUCAGCCCCUGGGUCCUCAGCCCCACGGUACACCCACUCCCCGAGGGGUGAUUCACUCCUGGAGCAUAAUCAGGAGAAAUUAGACUCCACAAAGAAAGACAAUUGGCAGUCGAGUUCCUGGCCCUCCAGCCUGACACGGUGGUUUACCCUGAAGACUAAUUAUCUGGCCGCUUACGGAGGCCUUGGUGGCCCUGUGCUAUUUGGGGUGCUGGCUUCCAGCCGGUGGUGAAAUGCACACAGCUUCCACUCCCCCGCCACCCGCAUCGCUCAUGGCUCUGAGGCUCUGAGCAGACUCACAGUCCCCUCUGAGUCACUGCAGGCCUGGGCUUCCCAAGGGCUUCGGCCCAGGGGCUCAUUCCAGACACACCCUACCCUGACGCCCCCUGGAUCUGGGCCUAGGAUGGACCUGAUGAGGCUCCAUAGUGGGUCCCCAGUCCUUUCGAGGAGCCUGAAAUUCCACCACGAGAUUUAGCCAGUACAACUAUUUCUGGAAAGGCUCUGAUCACCUGGGCAAGGUGUCUUGUCUCCAUGGCUCCCCGGGCCCACGCUUCCUCUGUUCUAGCCCAUGCUGUGCUUUCUUGUGCAGGAAG